This 495-nucleotide ribosomal RNA is filed under the name uncultured bacterium. Its description in RNAcentral is "partial 16S ribosomal RNA". It matches the Rfam family "Bacterial small subunit ribosomal RNA", at positions 28 to 507 of the family's 1533-position model. The record is from RNAcentral.
GACGAACGCUGGCGGCGUGCCUAAUACAUGUAAGUAGAACGCUGAAGGAGGAGCUUGCUUCUCUGGAUGAGUUGCGAACGGGUGAGUAACGCGUAGGUAACCUGCCUGGUAGCGGGGGAUAACUAUUGGAAACGAUAGCUAAUACCGCAUAAGAGUAGAUGUCGCAUGACAUUUGCUUAAAAGGUGCAAUUGCAUCACUACCAGAUGGACCUGCGUUGUAUUAGCUAGUUGGUGAGGUAACGGCUCACCAAGGCAACGAUACAUAGCCGACCUGAGAGGGUGAUCGGCCACACUGGGACUGAGACACGGCCCAGACUCCUACGGGAGGCAGCAGUAGGGAAUCUUCGGCAAUGGACGGAAGUCUGACCGAGCAACGCCGCGCGAGUGAAGAAGGUUUUCGGAUCGUAAAGCUCUGUUGUAAGAGAAGAACGAGUGUGAGAGUGGAAAGUUCACACUGUGACGGUAUCUUACCAGAAAGGGACGGCUAACUACGUG